This 219-nucleotide long non-coding RNA is filed under the name Olea europaea (common olive). Its description in RNAcentral is "long non-coding RNA (OEUR_LNC009982)". Lineage: Eukaryota; Viridiplantae; Streptophyta; Magnoliopsida; Lamiales; Oleaceae. The record is from RNAcentral.
ACUGCUAUAUAUACCCUUUGUUUUUCAUCCGCCACUCAAUUUUUAGAAUUUCCAAAAAAGCUUUAGGCUAUGGAAUUCAUCCCCUCAAAAAUCUAAUCAAAACCAAAGGCUUCCUCCUAAAAGAGGACAGAUCAAGAUGAAGAUACUCAAAUCUAUUGUAAGAUCAGUCGGUGCAUUUGUAUCGGUAGGCAGUAAGUCAAGGAGCUCAAAUUCUACCAC